RNAcentral lists this ribosomal RNA (290 nucleotides) under uncultured Desulfobulbus sp. RNAcentral's name for it is "partial 16S ribosomal RNA". It matches the Rfam family "Bacterial small subunit ribosomal RNA", at positions 1090 to 1382 of the family's 1533-position model. Lineage: Bacteria; Pseudomonadati; Thermodesulfobacteriota; Desulfobulbia; Desulfobulbales; Desulfobulbaceae. The record is from RNAcentral.
CAACGAGCGCAACCCUUGCCUUUAGUUGCCAGCAGUUCGGCUGGGCACUCUAAAGGGACUGCCGGUGUUAAACCGGAGGAAGUGGGGAUGACGUCAAGUCCUCAUGGCCUUUAUGACCAGGGCUACACACGUACUACAAUGGCCGAUCAAAGGGCAGCGACACUGCGAGGUGAAGCCAAUCCCGUAAAAUCGGUCUCAGUCCGGAUUGGAGUCUGCAACUCGACUCCAUGAAGUUGGAAUCGCUAGUAAUCGUGGAUCAGCAUGCCACGGUGAAUACGUUCCCGGGCCUU